RNAcentral lists this ribosomal RNA (253 nucleotides) under uncultured bacterium. RNAcentral's name for it is "partial 16S ribosomal RNA". It matches the Rfam family "Bacterial small subunit ribosomal RNA", at positions 524 to 776 of the family's 1533-position model. The record is from RNAcentral.
UACAGAGGCCUCAAGCGUUGUUCGGAUUCAUUGGGCGUAAAGGGUGCGUAGGCGGCGCGGUAAGUCGGGUGUGAAAUCUUGGAGCUUAACUCCGAAACUGCAUUCGAUACUGCCGUGCUUGAGGACUGGAGAGGAGACUGGAAUUUACGGUGUAGCGGUGAAAUGCGUAGAUAUCGUAAGGAAGACCAGUGGCGAAGGCGGGUCUCUGGACAGUUCCUGACGCUGAGGCACGAAGGCGUGGGGAGCAAACAGG